Molecule: unclassified non-coding RNA, 685 nt
Filed under: Hevea brasiliensis (rubber tree)
Lineage: Eukaryota; Viridiplantae; Streptophyta; Magnoliopsida; Malpighiales; Euphorbiaceae
Source: RNAcentral
GGGCCCAUUUUCUUUUGCAGAAAUUCUUUCGGUGAUAUGUUCCAAAGCAGAGGCUAUAUUCUGUAAAAUCCAAUCAUGAACUUGUGCCGCAGGAACAGGAACAGCAGGCAUGUCGGGAUCUGAAUUGGCAAAAAAUGGAGCAGCUUGACUUAAUGAAACUCCUUCAGAUCCUUUCUCACCAAAUUGAAUCAGAAACCCAAGGUGCUCAAAACCUUCCAUGGUCAAAACCAGAGACUCUUCGCCUUCUCCUUCCACAGGCUCUGCCAAAAGAGAGAGAAUGUUAGCCAUGUGCUUUUGUAGAUAGGAUAACUGAUGAGCCUCUUCAUCAGCCUGUGAUGGCAUAAACCGACGGCUGUUGCUACGCACAAGCUGAAGCGGCGAUAAAGCCGACAGGUACCCAUCGAAAGCUGAGGUGGAGGGCCAGACAUCGGCCACGGCAGCAGAGUCCUUAUGUGUCCUGGGCAACAACUUCUUAUACGAUUGUAUAUACAAAAAUAAUAUCAGAUCAUGCAAAUCCGCCCCAACGGAAUCAAUCUCUCCGGGUUCGGCCUUCACAAGCGGGUCAGCCCCGGAGUGGAGAACAGAGGCGAGAGUGUCGAGAACGAGCCUAGCAUGGUCGACGGAGAUCUGAACGGUGUCAGCAAGGGUGGCAUAAUCAACACGGGGAUGGGAAACGAGUUUCUGC